UCCGGCUUGGCGCCGGCAGUCUCCCUAGAGUCCCCACCAUUACGUGCUGGCAACUAAGGACGGGGGUUGCGCUCGUUGCGGGACUUAACCCAACACCUCACGACACGAGCUGACGACAGCCAUGCAGCACCUGUCCUGGAGUCCCGAAGGAGGGCCCCUGUUUCCAGGGGCUUUCACGUGCAUGUCAAGCCCAGGUAAGGUUCUUCGCGUUGCUUCGAAUUAAACCACAUGCUCCACCGCUUGUGCGGGCCCCCGUCAGUUCCUUUGAGUUUUAACCUUGCGGCCGUACUCCCCAGGCGGUGGGCUUAACGCGUUAGCUGCGACACCGAGGGGCAAGCCCCCCGACGUCUAGCCCACAUCGUUUAGGGCGUGGACUAC
Molecule: unclassified non-coding RNA, 378 nt
Filed under: uncultured bacterium
Lineage: Bacteria
Description: contains 16S-23S intergenic spacer region
Source: RNAcentral